UAACAGCUCCAUGAUAGCACUUUGGCCUGUUGCUUCUCUGUCUGGGAUGUUUUUGUCAGCAGUUGCACACAGAAAGGACAGGAAAAUGAACGGCUGCUUCACACCCCCACCGGAGGAACCCGGCACCCUUAGCUGUGCAGGCUCCACUGGAGAGCUCGGGAGUGACUUGACCAUGGCAGCACCCUAUUUACAUAUUAAAAGACGGCAUUUUGGGGCCAAUGGGGUAAAAUAAUUGAGAAACCUGAACUGCAAGGCUGGUCCUG
Molecule: long non-coding RNA, 263 nt
Organism: Gopherus flavomarginatus (Mexican gopher tortoise)
Lineage: Eukaryota; Metazoa; Chordata; Testudines; Testudinidae
Exons: 3
Source: RefSeq, a predicted model, not a curated record